CGCUGCGCGCCGGACGGGGCCCAAGCGGGGGUCGGAGCCUCAAGGCUGCGGCGGCGACGAGCUCCGAGCGGGACACUGAACGGCCCGUAUGCGCAAGAUAAGCACGGACUGAAUCAGGUACACGCACCUGCCGGGGACGCACUGACCGAGGUGCGGACGGCGGUACCAGGACAGGUAAAGCCGCGAACACUCGGACCUAAGAACUUGACAGGUACACCCUGCCUGAUGAAGCUACGUACGGCCAGGUGCGCAUCGAGUGAAUCAGGUCAUCAUCUCACCCUUGUUCAUUAUUGGAUGGAGAAACCAGGGUCCCAGAGACACUGGCCGGCUGGGGCAAGAUCACCACUCAUUCCUAUCAACAGCUGGGUUAAAGGUGCAGAAGACAUGCUUAUUCGAUUUGCAGGUGACCCAAAACUAGAUGCAGUGGCUGGUAUUUUAAAUGACCAAACAAGAGCCCAAAAUCCCCUAAAGCGGAUGAGAUGAUGGACUAACCCCUCUACGGAUGGAUGUAAAAUUAAAAUUUUUUGCAUGAAAGAGAUUUUGGCUGAAGGUUCAUUGCACAUUGAGAUGGUUGCCCCAAAUGAUUGUGGUCUCAGGCUGAGUCUGUAGAGGUACAGGUUGACGAUGAGGGAGGUGAUAGCUGGAGGGUUGUGCUCAACUCUGGUUGUCGUACAUUUGAGGAGACAGGGAGAGACCAGAGUCCAGUUUGUGGAGGGUAAAGGUUAGUGAGGAACUGGGGAUACUGAUCUUGCAGAAGAGAAGACUCAAAAGGGCAGAGGCAGGAACAGUGGUAUAACCCUGCCUGGCUCCAAGGGCAGAACUGGCACCCAUGGAGAUAACAGGGGCCUGAGAACCAGCUCUGUGGCUAUCAGAACUUUCCCACAGUGAAUCAGAGUGCCUUCAGAGGUGGUGAGCUCCCCAUCACCAAUGGUAUGCAAGCAGAGUGAGGAAAGGAUUCCUGUUUCCAGCUCUCAGAUGGUUUUAUCAACAGCAAAAAAACUAGACCCUACUGAUAAAAAUUUCUGUUGGCUAUAUAUACACAUAUAGUUAACAAAUAUGUAAUCCAUAUUUCCCCUAUUUUAAGGUUUAUUUUAUUUUAUUUUUGAGACAGGGUCUCACUCUGUCACGCAGGCUAAAGUGUAGUGCAGGAUCUUGGCUCACAGCAGCCUCUACCUCCCGGUUUAAGCCAUUCUCCCACCUCAGCCUCCUGAGUAGCUGGGACUACAGGCUCCUGCCACUACACACCUGGCUAAUUUUUGUAUUUUUUGUAGAGACGAAGUUUCGCCAUGUUGCCCAGGCUGAUCUCAAGCUCUUGGGCUCAAGCAAUCCACCUGCCUUGGCCUCCCGAAGUGCUGGGAUUACAGGGUGAGAACCUACUUCUUCAUAAAGAGAAUUUGGAGGGAGCUUUUUGUUCUGCGGGGACAACAUCUGGAUUUGAAUACAUCCAUGCUCAAAAGGAGAUUUCUCAUAAUGGACCCAACUGAAAGCACUCAGAGUACAAGGACCGGUGAGCUUUCAAAAGGAGACACUUCGGGAGACUCGCCAGGGGCCCUCGUAUCCCCGGCAGCGCGAGUUUUGGAGGUCAGUGGAGGGCUCUCGCAUCAUGCAUGUAACUUUCAUACUCAAAAACUUACCUUCAUCCUGCAUCCCUCACCCCCCUGCAGAAACUUGGGGCUUGAAUUCAUUUAAAAACAUUUGCGGUUUCAGAAGCCUUCUUUUUAUUAUGAAGCUGCCAAGGAGAUCUUAGAAUGAAAGGCAUUUUUAGAGAUGAGAAAGAAGGAAGCCAGGCCAAGGCUGGGCCGGCUCUCAGCCGUGGGUCUGUAAAGGUGACACGUGGGACAUGGCCACCUGCAGACCCUGCAGGCGGCUGGGCAGAGGCACCCACAGGGACCUGGGUUUGAAUCCCUGCUCUGCCAGUCAUUUCCACAGCGAUCUUGGGGGAAGUUGUGUAACCUCUGGGCCCUGCGACGCCCUUUCCUGGAGCCUGGAGCUGGAACGAAGCCCCUUGGAGCCCUGACAUCAGAGGUGACGUUAGUCUUCGCAGGCAAUGACUCGGCGGAAUGUGAUGCCACUCCCUAACCCGUGUCCGGACUGGCAGAGUGUGUGCCGCCUCCCACCAGGUGGUCUGGCUGCUUUGAUGGAUCUCCUAACUUCUCUGCACCCCAGAGCCCUCAGUGCUGGCCAGACCUUCACUCACUCCUGGGUGACAACCCCGUUCUCAGAUAGUGGGUCCCACAGGCUGGCCUGUGGCGCCCCCUGCUGGUGACUGCAGGGAGAAGGAUGCCCUAAGCCAAAGGAAGUCCUUCCUGGGGUCUAAUCUCUACCUUUUGCAUGAUGAGGCAGCUGAGGUGGCUCGCUUUCUCCUCCACCCCAGAAAAUAAAGUCAUAUGGAGUCCAAGCAGUUAUUUUUCUCUGCUAGGCCAGUCCAUCAUAAGCCCCAAAUGGAGGGGCCCCUGGAAUGAGCCCUAUGCAGGCCUUCUAUGGACAAGGGCCCUUCAGGGAGUAGGGCUGUGGUGAGGAUGGGGUGCAUGUGUGUGGGCUCUCACCUGGGUGUGGGAAGAUCAGAGGGACCCCACAGGUCAGUGUUUGCAGAUGAAAAAAUGAAGGUAGGAGCUGGGCACGGUGGCUCACGUCUGUAAUCCCAGCACUUUGGGAGGCCAAGGCAGGUGGAUCACGAGGUCAGGAGAUCGAGACCAUCCUGGCUAACAUGGUGAAACCCCGUCUCUACUAAAAAUACAAAAAGUUAGCCAGGUAUGGUGGCGGGCUCCUGUAGUCCCAGCUACUAGGGAGGCUGAGGCAGGAGAAUGGCGUGAAUCUGGGAGGCGGAGCUUGCAGUGAGCCGAGAUCGCGCCACCGCACUUCAGCCUGGGCUACUGAGCAAGACUCCAUCUCAAAAAAAAAAAAAAAAAAAAAAAGAAGGUAGGAAGCUUCAGCCUGAAGGUAAAGUUUUGGGGCAGCUCCAACCCACUGCCCUCCUGGGACCGGUUUUAUCAGCGUUUCCCUGUAAUUGGUGAAAGGCCUUCAGUUAGCCAUUUCUCUGAAGAUUAGAGAAAGCAAGAGAGAUGUGAGUUAAACACAAGGCGGGACUUCUCAAUGAUGGGGGAUGUCAGACCUCAGAAAGGGGAGCAAAGGAACCUUCCCACUGAGGGCAGCCUCCAGUGAGGUGGGGUCCAGGCCAGGCGGGUGAGAUGGCCCUCAACACUGUCCAUCUGGAGGGGCCUGGGACUAGGUUGUAGUCUAUGGGGGUCUCAGGAUGGAAAGGCCUCUUGAGAGGCUCCUGGUGGCUGGGACUUUUGUGGAUGGGAUGGUGAGGACGGGCAGGGGGAGAGACUGAGGCCCAGAGGCAUUGCCACCCCCAUCCUCCCCCGCCUGGUAAACUCAUCUUCCUGACUCAUUGGCUUGCCUCCUCUGCGGACACUGCCUGGUCCCUGUGCAAGGUCACGUUGCUUGCCCUCCACGAGCUCCCGUCCUGCUGCUGAGCUCAUGUUCUGUGAUGGCAGCCUCUGUGUCCAUCCUCCCUGCUGGACUGUGGGCUCCACACCGGCUGAGACCUGACUGUCUUGCUCCAGCCUGGCUCUAACUCCAGCACCUGGCACAUCUAAUCUUGCCUGGCAUGUCCUGGUGCUCAGUGGCUUCAACUGAGAAGAGGCCCAGGGUCUUCCUUGGUCCAGCUAAGCCUGGCUUUAGAAAGGAUUGGGGCAGACGUAGGGGAGGCAGAGCCCCAAGUCUUGAUGGAUGGGUGACCUGGGCACUCUGACUUUCUGCACAGGGCUACCCCUUUCCCCCAUUGAGACACCCUCCUAACUCAGCUGUAGGCUCUGACACCCCACUUCUGGCUGGCUCUGGCUUCCCACACUGGAACCAUCCCCUGCAUGGCUGCCUUGCUUUGUCUGCCUGGGCUCUGACACCCAUAUCAGGCUGACCCCAUAGGGGUGACAGCCCCUCACUGAUUUGUACUCUGACACCCCUGGGCCAGCCUGCCUUCCCCAGUGGUCCCCCUCCUCACUCUGCUAGGAAUCCUGCUGUGUUCAUCCAUGGUUCCCCCAUUCCCUUGCUCUGCUGCACAUAAUAGUUUUAGGACUGAAUUGUUGAGGAAGGAAAGGAGAGAGGAGGAACAGAACUCUGUUUUUGAAAAAUUAUUUUAACUGUGGACAUUUUUGUGCGAGAAAAAUUUUGGACAGAAUACUAAAUGGAGCUGCUCUGGUUGAAGAAAGAGUGAAAGAGAGGGAGAAAGAGAAGAGAAUGGGAAAGGACAGACAGCAGAGAGGAGAGGGAGAGGGGAGAGAGAGGACAGGGGAGGGAAGAGGAGAGGGGAGGGGAGGGGAGAGAUGAGGGGAGGGGAGGGGAGAGGAGAGGAGGAAGCCCUUCAAUGCCCCUGGAGUCCUGCCCACUUGGUCCCACUCCCUCAGAACUCUCAUCUGUCAUUAAGCUCUUGGGGUUCCUAGGUGUGCAGUUUGGGGACCACCGGACAAGAAUUCUGCCUCAAAUAAAAUGAGUGCCACUUAGCCGCUAAGAUGUCUUCUCUGAGCUUUUCUGAGAAGCAGCCCUGGAGGCAGCGGGCUCACCACCUACCCUGAGUAGCUUCUGAGCCUGGCAGCAGUCACCUGGAGCUUGAGGGUAGCAGCUGCCUCUGCCUGGAGGAGGCAUCUCUGAGCAGGGCCAGGGGGCCCUGGACAGGCAUUGGAGGUGUCCUUCCGGGCCUGGUGGAAGUGGGCUAGGGGCUGUGAGUGAGAAGACUUCUAUAGGCCGAGGCACUGGGUAGACACCUCACCCCCAGCCAUCUGUGGACCCUUUGUGACCCUUUAUGCUCCAUCUCUGUCUCCCCCACAAUCACCGGAGAAACAGGAUCUGGGAAUUCUGCCUUGGUGGCCGAAGCAGAAGUCACUGCCCUCCUAAUGCCACUCAUCGGACCACACAACACUUUCACCGCCAGUCCUUGUGUGAUUUGAUCUUUGCAAAUCAGAGAUAGUACUGUUAAUAAUUUCCCUGCAGGAAAGAGGAAGUUAAGGAUAUGAGGAAUUGCCGUCAGGAUCAGAGCUUCAGACCCCCACACCCUCUCCUGCUGCUGUGUCUCCAACUGAUGCUGAAAGUAAAAGCCGCCACUCACUGGCCGGUUACCUGCCCAGCACUCCACAGAGCUUGUUUUUUGUGACCUUCAUGACAGCUGUGAGUCUCAUUUUAUUGAUAGAGACACUGAGGCCCAGAAGAAACUGGCCCAAGAACACACAGGUGAUCAUCACUACGAAGAGCAAAACAGGCCACUUGCCCACCUUGACAGAGCUGGUAAGUGGCAGAGCCAGGACCAUCCAGACGGCUCAGCUUCCAAGCCAGCAAGCCUCAUCGCCAUGCAGUUUGUCCCCAGGGAGGAAGGAUGCUUCUGGUCCCAGGGUCCAGGAUGCUCUACCCUCCUUCCUCUAGGAUAUCCAGGGGGCCAGCUUUAGUGAGAGGAGAGUGCAUGGUCCAGCCUUCUGGGGGCACCCAGAGUGUCCCCUUCCACUCCCAGCUUCCCACUUCUGCUCCACUGUCUCCCUGCAGGAGGCUCUGGGAAGGCAGAGAUGGAGCUGUGGUCCCCACCGCCUUCUGUGGCAGCUCACUUUCAUUCAUUUUCUUUAAAUGCUUCUCACUCUCUGUUUUUAAAUCUAAUUUUUCAGCUUCUUUUUCAUCUUCAUUCAAGUUGCUUUAAUGAAACGAAAAUGUGUCUGUUUCCCUCUGCUGGAGCUGCCCGGGGAAUUUCAAUAUAAAACAAACAAGUUGGCUUUUAAAAUUAAAAUUUUAUGGGUGGCAUUUCCUCAUUUAAUGGGUGGCACAAAAGAGUGGAGUAAAACCAAUUAACAUGGGGUUGAGACUCGGUGUUCAGAAAAACUAAACAACAGGAGCGCGGUGCGCCAGGAGCCAGGAGCAGUUCCAGCAGAGGCUGGGGAGGUGCGCGGGUGAGGCAGUUGUGGAGGCUCCCCCCACUCCCUGGCAGCUGUGUGCACCCAGGUCGGGCACUAGCACAUACAGGGAUGCCAGCCUCAGCUCCCCACCCAGCUCUACCCCCAGGACCCAUGCCCAGGGGUUGGUGUGCACAUCUACCUUGCACAUUCAGAUGGCAGGCGAUAGUGGGGGCUGAGAAUGUGGAGGGGCGGGGGAGGCUGCCUUGGAGCCCUGGGGUCCUGGACACUGUUGUCUGGAGAAGCAUUAGGAAGUAGCUAAGGCCUCUGCCAGGGCCAGCAUUCAUUCGGAUAGUUAUCCUCUGACGCAAUCUGAGUCCUACUCACGAGGGCCUCAUCUUCAUCAUGGCUAUGCCCCAGGGCCCAGACCGCACCAGGAGUGUGGCAAGUGCUGCAUAGAUGCUGGAUACCUGGAUGAAUGACUUCAUUCCGGCAAACAAUACUAAUGGAAAUCCUGCUCUGCUGUGACUCCCUCAGGGUGGGUGUCACCCGGCAUAGGGUGUGUUUGGGGUAGAAAUGGUGAAGAUACCACAGGAGAUCUGAGGAGCAGGGGCAUGCCUGGGUGGCGCUGCAGGGAGAGAAUGGCUCUGUGGAACUGGCAAGGGCAGAGUGAACAGGGCUGGAGAAGAGGCAGUCCGGGCAAGGGCGGGGUGGGGAGGGAGCUGAGAAAUUGAGGUGGCUGAAUCUGGCCUGGAAGGAAGUAGGGGUAAGAAGAUGAGUCUGGAGAGACCAGUCGGGGCUGGCUUGUGAAGAGUGGCAGGUUGCUUUGACUUCAUCUCAGGGCAAUGGGGACUUGCUGCAGGCUCAGAGCAAGGUGAUGUGAUUCCAGGUGGCUUCAGGGACACUGACUCUGGAGGCUGGUGGGAGGGAAAGGAGAGUCCCGCCAGGUGUGCUGGCAUCCCUGCAGGCUGAGCUGAGUACUUCAGGCUGGUUGGU
Molecule: long non-coding RNA, 6869 nt
Filed under: Homo sapiens (human)
Lineage: Eukaryota; Metazoa; Chordata; Mammalia; Primates; Hominidae
Description: HSALNT0005023
Source: RNAcentral